UUUAACUGAAGAGUUUGAUCAUGGCUCAGAUUGAACGCUGGCGGCAGGCUUAACACAUGCAAGUCGAGCGGGGGAAGGUAGCUUGCUACUGGACCUAGCGGCGGACGGGUGAGUAAUGCUUAGGAAUCUGCCUAUUAGUGGGGGACAACAUCUCGAAAGGGAUGCUAAUACCGCAUACGUCCUACGGGAGAAAGCAGGGGAUCU
This 204-nucleotide ribosomal RNA is filed under the name Acinetobacter baumannii. RNAcentral describes it as "partial 16S ribosomal RNA". It matches the Rfam family "Bacterial small subunit ribosomal RNA", at positions 1 to 213 of the family's 1533-position model. The record is from RNAcentral. Lineage: Bacteria; Pseudomonadati; Pseudomonadota; Gammaproteobacteria; Moraxellales; Moraxellaceae.